RNAcentral lists this unclassified non-coding RNA (329 nucleotides) under soil metagenome. RNAcentral's name for it is "partial contains 5.8S ribosomal RNA, internal transcribed spacer 2, and large subunit ribosomal RNA". The stretch from base 1 to 120 matches the Rfam family "5.8S ribosomal RNA", at positions 35 to 154 of the family's 154-position model. The record is from RNAcentral.
GAUGAAGAACGUAGCGAAAUGCGAUAAGUAAUGUGAAUUGCAGAAUUCAGUGAAUCAUCGAAUCUUUGAACGCACAUUGCGCCCCCUGGUAUUCCGGGGGGCAUGCCUGUCCGAGCGUCAUUACAACCCUCAAGCUCAGCUUGGUGUUGGGCCCCGCCGCCCCGGCGGGCCCUAAAGUCAGUGGCGGUGCCGUCCGGCUCCGAGCGUAGUAAUUCUUCUCGCUCUGGAGGUCCGGUCGUGUGCUCGCCAGCAACCCCCAGUUUUUUUCAGGUUGACCUCGGAUCAGGUAGGGAUACCCGCUGAACUUAAGCAUAUCAAUAAGCGGAGGA